This is a long non-coding RNA of Papaver somniferum (opium poppy), 1037 nucleotides long. RefSeq lists it as uncharacterized. The transcript is spliced from 3 exons. The record is from RefSeq and is a predicted model, not a curated record. NCBI's taxonomy places the organism in Eukaryota, Viridiplantae, Streptophyta, Magnoliopsida, Ranunculales, Papaveraceae.
AAGGAUGAAAGUGAAGUGCUCGCAGAGAUUGAUAAAAUCCAACGCAAAUGAGACUCUUUCGAACCUUGGUUUGCUGCAUAUCGUUCAACAACAGACGUCACUCUGCCUGCACCUGGAAGAGAGUCUGUGGAAUCCAUCAGAAAGAGAGAUUGUUUUUUGGAGCCUGAGAAAUAGGGAAAGCAUAGUUUCAUCCUUGUCAAAAGACUGGAACAUAUCUGCUGGCUUUUCUUGCUUGAACCGCAUCACCUAUUGACAUGGCCUUUCUACUGGAAAGACCUUAUAUCUUUUCUUUGCCAAAACAUGAUCCUUUCAUUAUUUUGUCAGUUCAUAUGCCAAUGGUGAACAAUCAGUUGGUGUUGGAAAUUGGAAGCUACGGGGAAUUUUCAAAUUGAAAUUUGCAUGGCAGCUACGGGGAAUUUCCAAAUUCUACUGGUGUUACCAAUCCAACUAGAUUUUGUGCCCGUGCUACGCACCGGGGACCCGAAAACCAUACACAUUUUAUUUUCUUUUAACCAUAUUUUUGGUUUGGUGUGAUGUGGCUUCGUCUCGCCCCGGCUCGCAUUUUUUACUUGUUGUCGCAGGGUUUCCACCGCCCCAUUAUUUAGGAGUUUUGAUUUGGUGUGGCUCGGCUCGCCUCGCCCCAAUGCAUGCUAAGGAGUUUUUGAUUUGAUAUGGCUUGGCUUCACCUCGCCCCGUCGCAUAGAAUUUUUGAUUUUGUGUGGAUCGGCGUCGCCUCGUCCCGAUGCAUACUUAGGAUUAUUAAUCUUGUGUGGUUCGAUGCAUGCUUAGGAUUUUUAAUUUGGUGUGGUUUGGAUUCCUCUCACCUAUUCCCGAUGCAUGCCGAGGAUUUUCGAUUUGGUAUAGCUCGGCUUCUCCUCGCCCCUCGCUUCGGAUAUUGAUUUGGUGUUUGUUUUUAUUUUCUUUCUUUUUUUAUCUUUGUUGGACAGUGUUUGAAAAGAUGGUGAUAGGAGUUGAUAGAAAUAUAAAGCCAUUUCCAAUAGCAUUCAACAAAAAUAAUAACCAGUGUACUUAUUAAU